RNAcentral lists this ribosomal RNA (497 nucleotides) under uncultured bacterium. RNAcentral describes it as "partial 16S ribosomal RNA". It matches the Rfam family "Bacterial small subunit ribosomal RNA", at positions 28 to 507 of the family's 1533-position model. The record is from RNAcentral.
GACGAACGCUGGCGGCGUGCCUAAUACAUGCAAGUAAAACGCUGAAGAGAGGAGCUUGCUCUUCUUGGAUGAGUUGCGAACGGGUGAGUAACGCGUAGGUAACCUGCCUUGUAGCGGGGGAUAACUAUUGGAAACGAUAGCUAAUACCGCAUAACAAUGGAUGACACAUGUCAUUUAUUUGAAAGGGGCAAUUGCUCCACUACAAGAUGGGCCUGCGUUGUAUUAGCUAGUAGGUGAGGUAAUGGCUCACCUAGGCGACGAUACAUAGCCGACCUGAGAGGGUGAUCGGCCACACUGGGACUGAGACACGGCCCAGACUCCUACGGGAGGCAGCAGUAGGGAAUCUUCGGCAAUGGGGGCAACCCUGACCGAGAAACGCCGCGUGAGUGAAGAAGGUUUUCGGAUCGUAAAGCUCUGUUGUAAGUCAAGAACGGGUGUGAGAGUGGAAAGUUCACACUGUGACGGUAGCUUACCAGAAAGGGACGGCUAACUACGUG